ACCCUGCGCAAGACGCUGGAUGUCGUGGCUGAUUUCAC
This 38-nucleotide transfer RNA is filed under the name uncultured Goniomonas sp. RNAcentral's name for it is "partial Selenocysteine transfer RNA". Lineage: Eukaryota; Cryptophyceae; Goniomonadida; Goniomonadaceae. The record is from RNAcentral.